GCUCAGCCGAACGGUGAGGCCGAUGGCAGAACAGGUUAAUAUUCCUGUACUACCUUAAGGAGUGACGUGGAGACGGAGCAGUGAUAGCGCCGCGGACUGACGGAAUAGUCCGUUGAAGGGUGUAGAUGUUGAUCUUUGCAGGCAAAUCCACAAAGAGAGUCGAACCUGAUAGUAUACCAAAUUCUUCGGAAUAAGGUAAUAGUGCGUGUAAGCAUACUCCCAAGAAAAUCCGCUAAACUUAAUCUUUAAGGUACCCGUACCGCAAACGGACACACGUAGUCGGGUUGAAUAUACUAAGGCGCUUGAGUGAUUCACGGUUAAGGAACUAGGCAAAUUGACCCUGUAACUUCGGGAUAAAGGGUCCCAACGAGAGUUGGGCGCAGAGAAUAGGUCCAGGCAACUGUUUAACAAAAACACAGGGCUGUGCCAAAUUGAAAGAUUACGUAUACAGCCUGACACCUGCCCGGUGCUGGAAGGUUAAGAGGAGAUGUCAUCGCAAGAGAAGCAUUGAAUUGAAGCCCCAGUAAACGGCGGCCGUAACUAUAACGGUCCUAAGGUAGCGAAAUUCCUUGUCGGGUAAGUUCCGACCUGCACGAAUGGUGUAAUGAUCUGGACGCUGUCUCAACCGUGAGCUCAGUGAAAUUGUAGUAUCGGUGAAGAUGCCGAUUACCCGCGAUGGGACGAAAAGACCCCGUGAACCUUUACUAUAGCUUAACAUUGAAUUUGGGUAAUUGAUGUGUAGGAUAGGCCGGAGACUUUGAAGCAGGUACGCCAGUAUUUGUGGAGUCGCUGUUGAAAUACGGCCCUUUGAUUAUUUGAGUUCUAACUCGUAGAUGCGAGGACACUGUUUGGUGGGUAGUUUGACUGGGGUGGUCGCCUCCAAAAGUGUAACGGAGGCUUCUAAAGGUGCCCUCAGGACGAUUGGUAACCGUCCGUAGAGUGUAAUGGCAUAAGGGCGCUUGACUGGGAGACAGACAAGUCGAUCAGGUAGGAAACUAGAGCAUAGUGAUCCGGUGUUUCCGCAUGGAAGGGACAUCGCUCAAAGGAUAAAAGGUACUCCGGGGAUAACAGGCUGAUCCCUCCCAAGAGCUCAUAUCGACGGAGGGGUUUGGCACCUCGAUGUCGGCUCGUCACAUCCUGGGGCUGGAGAAGGUCCCAAGGGUUGGGCUGUUCGCCCAUUAAAGUGGCACGCGAGCUGGGUUCAGAACGUCGUGAGAC
Molecule: ribosomal RNA, 1218 nt
Filed under: metagenome
Description: bacterial LSU rRNA
Rfam family: Bacterial large subunit ribosomal RNA
Source: RNAcentral